CGGACGGGUGAGUAACGCGUGGGUAACCUGCCCUGUACAGGGGGAUAACAGUUGGAAACGGCUGCUAAAACCGCAUAACAUGGAGAUACCGCAUGAUAUUUCCAUCAAAUAUUUAUAGGUACAGGAUGGGCCCGCGUCUGAUUAGCCAGUUGGCAGGGUAAUGGCCUACCAAAGCGACGAUCAGUAGCCGACUUGAGAGAGUGACCGGCCACAUUGGGACUGAGACACGGCCCAAACUCCUACGGAAGGCAGCAG
RNAcentral lists this ribosomal RNA (255 nucleotides) under uncultured bacterium. RNAcentral describes it as "partial 16S ribosomal RNA". It matches the Rfam family "Bacterial small subunit ribosomal RNA", at positions 99 to 354 of the family's 1533-position model. The record is from RNAcentral.